GUACAGGACGCUCUGAUUCCUCCGGAUGAGUUUUCGCUGAUCGAGUGGGGGACGGUGAGUAAUGCAUAGGAUCUACCCAGUAGUGGGGGAUAACGCGGAGAAAUCCACGCUAAUACCGCAUAUGUCCUACGGGACAAAGCAUGCGGACGUCGGGCCUUGCGCUAUCGCAUGAGCCUAUGAUAGAUUAGCUUGUUGGUGAGGUAAAGGCUCACCAAGGCAACGAUCCAUAGCUGGUCUGAGAGGAUGAUCAGCCACACUGGGACUGAGACACGGCCCAGACUCCUACGGGAGGCAGCAGUGGGGAAUAUUGCACAAUGGGCGCAAGCCUGAUGCAGCAAUGCCGCGUGUGUGAAGAAGGCCUGCGGGUUGUAAAGCACUUUUAUUAGGAAAGAAAAACACGAAAUUAAUACUUUCGUACUUGACGGUACCUAAAGAAUAAGCACCGGCUAACUCAGUGCCAGCAGCCGCGGUAAUACUGAGGGUGCAAGCGUUAAUCGGAAUUACUGGGCGUAAAGCGAGUGUAGGCGGCUACCUAAGUCGGAUGUGAAAGCCCUGGGCUCAACCUGGGAAUUGCAUUCGAUACUGAGUAGCUAGAGUUUGGUAGAGGUAAGUGGAAUUCCGGGUGUAGCGGUGAAAUGCGUAGAUAUCCGGAGGAACAUCAGUGGCGAAGGCGGCUUACUGGACCAAAACUGACGCUGAGGCUCGAAAGCGUGGGGAGCAAACAGGAUUAGAUACCCUGGUAGUCCACGCCCUAAACGAUGUCAACUAGACGUUGGGCUCAUUAAGGAGCUUAGUGUCGCAGCUAACG
This 808-nucleotide ribosomal RNA is filed under the name uncultured Gammaproteobacteria bacterium. RNAcentral's name for it is "bacterial SSU rRNA". It matches the Rfam family "Bacterial small subunit ribosomal RNA", at positions 64 to 857 of the family's 1533-position model. The record is from RNAcentral. Lineage: Bacteria; Pseudomonadati; Pseudomonadota; Gammaproteobacteria.